ACAGAGGGGGCAAGCGUUGUUCGGAAUUACUGGGCGUAAAGGGCGCGUAGGCGGCCUGUUAAGUCGAACGUGAAAUCCCCGGGCUCAACCCGGGAACUGCGUCCGAUACUGGCAGGCUUGAAUCCGGGAGAGGGAUGCGGAAUUCCAGGUGUAGCGGUGAAAUGCGUAGAUAUCAGGAGGAACACCGGUGGCGAAGGCGCACAUCUGGCCCGAUACUGACGCUGAAGCGCGAAAGCUAGGGGAGCAAACGGGA
Molecule: ribosomal RNA, 253 nt
Filed under: uncultured prokaryote
Description: partial 16S ribosomal RNA
Rfam family: Bacterial small subunit ribosomal RNA
Source: RNAcentral